RNAcentral lists this ribosomal RNA (495 nucleotides) under uncultured bacterium. Its description in RNAcentral is "partial 16S ribosomal RNA". It matches the Rfam family "Bacterial small subunit ribosomal RNA", at positions 28 to 507 of the family's 1533-position model. The record is from RNAcentral.
GACGAACGCUGGCGGCGUGCCUAAUACAUGCAAGUAGAACGCUGAAGGAGGAGCUUGCUUCUCUGGAUGAGUUGCGAACGGGUGAGUAACGCGUAGGUAACCUGCCUGGUAGCGGGGGAUAACUAUUGGAAACGAUAGCUAAUACCGCAUAAUAGUAGAUGUUGCAUGACAUUUGCUUAAAAGGUGCAAUUGCAUCACUACCAGAUGGACCUGCGUUGUAUUAGCUAGUUGGUGGGGUAACGGCUCACCAAGGCGACGAUACAUAGCCGACCUGAGAGGGUGAUCGGCCACACUGGGACUGAGACACGGCCCAGACUCCUACGGGAGGCAGCAGUAGGGAAUCUUCGGCAAUGGACGGAAGUCUGAACGAGCAACGCCGCGUGAGUGAAGAAGGGUGUCGGAUCGUAAAGCUCUGUUGUAAGAGAAGAACGAGUGUGAGAGUGGAAAGUUCACACUGUGACGGUAGCUUACCAGAAAGGGACGGCUAACUACGUG